AAAGAGCCACCUUAUUUCCAGCCCCCCACAGCACCUCUUCCACAAAAUCGGUGCUUCCCCUGCCCCUUCCCGUGCCAGGCCCAGCAGACCAGGCAGCCACCACCACCACCUCCCGACUCUCUCUACUUCCCCCUCCUGCCACCUCCCCCCCACGUUCCCCAGUCCCAGUGCUCCUAUCCCACACCCCCAGCCCUGUUCAUACCCCCAUCCUCCCUCUCCUACACUCCACCGACGGAGGUCCUGCUGAAGGGGAAGCCGCACGUCGUACCGUCGGUCCUACCAGCCACCUUCUAUACCCCGUUCUCGCGCUUCUACUCCCAGCCCCGGCCCUACCGCUAUCACAGGCGCUUAACACUACCCUCACUCUCCCUUCAAUACGAUGGUGCUGGGCGCUCUGUCCAUUUCUAUCGUGGGACCUAGGCCUCACAUCUAUUUCGGACCGGAAACCUCUGCCAGUAAAUUCAAGCUCCUGCAUCCGGACUUCAUCGGCUACCUGACAGAAAGGUUUCUGAAAUCCAAGUUGAUCAACACACGUUUUGGAGACAUGUACAUGCCUAGCACAGGAGCGCUCAUAUUGCUGACAGCCCUGCACGCCUGUGACCAGGUUAGUGCCUACGGAUUCAUCACUAACAACUACCAGAAGUACUCAGACCACUAUUUCGAACGAGAGAAGAAACCACUGAUAUUCUACGCAAACCAUGAUCUGUCCCUGGAAGCUGCGCUAUGGCGAGAUCUGCACAACGCCGGC
Molecule: long non-coding RNA, 748 nt
Filed under: Rattus norvegicus (Norway rat)
Lineage: Eukaryota; Metazoa; Chordata; Mammalia; Rodentia; Muridae
Description: long non-coding RNA NONRATT006296
Source: RNAcentral